UACGUAGGCAGCAAGCGUUGUUCGGAAUUACUGGGCGUAAAGAGUGUGUAGGCGGUGCUCCAAGUCUGGUGUGAAAUCUCCCGGCUUAACUGGGAGGGUGCAUUAGAAACUGGAAUGCUAGAGGAUGGGAGAGGUAAGCGGAAUUCCUGGUGUAGCGGUGAAAUGCGCAGAUAUCAGGAGGAACACCAAUGGCGAAGGCAGCACUCUGGGACGUGACUGGACGCUGAGACGCGAAAGCCGUGGGGAGCAAACAGG
RNAcentral lists this ribosomal RNA (255 nucleotides) under uncultured bacterium. Its description in RNAcentral is "partial 16S ribosomal RNA". It matches the Rfam family "Bacterial small subunit ribosomal RNA", at positions 524 to 776 of the family's 1533-position model. The record is from RNAcentral.